RNAcentral lists this microRNA precursor (73 nucleotides) under Bombyx mori (domestic silkworm). Its description in RNAcentral is "microRNA bmo-mir-2766 precursor". It matches the Rfam family "mir-2766 microRNA precursor family". Lineage: Eukaryota; Metazoa; Arthropoda; Insecta; Lepidoptera; Bombycidae. The record is from miRBase by way of RNAcentral.
CAUUACUCGUCCGCCCUUCGUCUUGACUGGCGCUGUCGCUUGCAUCAGUCUUGUCGAAUGGUGGGUGAGUUUC